GAUGAAGAACGUAGCGAAAUGCGAUAAGUAAUGUGAAUUGCAGAAUUCCGUGAAUCAUCGAAUCUUUGAACGCACAUUGCGCCCUCUGGUAUUCCGGGGGGCAUGCCUGUCCGAGCGUCAUUUCAACCAUCAAGCCCCCGGGCUUGUGUUGGGGACCUGCGGCUGCCGCAGGCCCUGAAAAGCAGUGGCGGGCUCGCUGUCACACCGAGCGUAGUAGAUUUUAUCUCGCUCUGGGCGUGCUGCGGGUUCCGGCCGUUAAACCACCCUUUUAACCCAAGGUUGACCUCGGAUCAGGUAGGAAGACCCGCUGAACUUAAGCAUAUCAAUAAGCGGAGGA
Molecule: unclassified non-coding RNA, 337 nt
Filed under: soil metagenome
Description: partial contains 5.8S ribosomal RNA, internal transcribed spacer 2, and large subunit ribosomal RNA
Rfam family: 5.8S ribosomal RNA (bases 1-120)
Source: RNAcentral